RNAcentral lists this ribosomal RNA (488 nucleotides) under uncultured bacterium. Its description in RNAcentral is "bacterial SSU rRNA". It matches the Rfam family "Bacterial small subunit ribosomal RNA", at positions 33 to 524 of the family's 1533-position model. The record is from RNAcentral.
ACGCUAGCGGCGGCUUACACAUGCAAGUCGAGGGGUAUUUAUCUUCGGAUAGAGAGACCGGCGCACGGGUGCGUAACGCGUAUGCAAUCUACCUUUUACAGAGGGAUAGCCCAGAGAAAUUUGGAUUAAUACCUCAUAGUAUUACGAAAUGGCAUCAUUUUGUAAUUAAAGUCACAACGGUAAAAGAUGAGCAUGCGUCCCAUUAGCUAGUUGGUAAGGUAACGGCUUACCAAGGCUACGAUGGGUAGGGGUCCUGAGAGGGAGAUCCCCCACACUGGUACUGAGACACGGACCAGACUCCUAUGGGAGGCAGCAGUGAGGAAUAUUGGACAAUGGGCGCAAGCCUGAUCCAGCCAUGCCGCGUGCAGGAUGACGGUCCUAUGGAUUGUAAACUGCUUUUAUACGAGAAGAAACACUCCGACGUGUCGGAGCUUGACGGUAUCGUAAGAAUAAGGAUCGGCUAACUCCGUGCCAGCAGCCGCGGUAAU